GCCAGGCAUGGUGGCACAUGCCUGUAAUCCCAGCAACUCUGGAGGCUGAGGCAGGAGUAUCACAAGUUUGAGGCCAGCCUCAGCAAUUUGGGUGAGACCUUGUCUCAA
RNAcentral lists this small RNA (108 nucleotides) under Marmota monax (woodchuck). The record is from RNAcentral. Lineage: Eukaryota; Metazoa; Chordata; Mammalia; Rodentia; Sciuridae.